UACGUAGGUGGCAAGCGUUAUCCGGAUUUAUUGGGCGUAAAGGGAACGCAGGCGGUCUUUUAAGUCUGAUGUGAAAGCCUUCGGCUUAACCGGAGUAGUGCAUUGGAAACUGGGAGACUUGAGUGCAGAAGAGGAGAGUGGAACUCCAUGUGUAGCGGUGAAAUGCGUAGAUAUAUGGAAGAACACCAGUGGCGAAAGCGGCUCUCUGGUCUGUAACUGACGCUGAGGUUCGAAAGCGUGGGGAUCGAACAGG
RNAcentral lists this ribosomal RNA (253 nucleotides) under uncultured bacterium. RNAcentral's name for it is "partial 16S ribosomal RNA". It matches the Rfam family "Bacterial small subunit ribosomal RNA", at positions 524 to 776 of the family's 1533-position model. The record is from RNAcentral.